GAGCCUACGGGGGGCAGCAGUCGGGAAUAUUGCGCAAUGGAGGAAACUCUGACGCAGUGACGCCGCGUAUAGGAAGAAGGUUUUCGGAUUGUAAACUAUUGUCGUGAGGGAAGAAAUUGACAGUACCCCAGGAGGAAGCUCCGGCUAACUAUGUGCCAGCAGCCGCGGUAAUACAUAGGGAGCAAGCGUUAUCCGGAUUUAUUGGGUGUAAAGGGUGCGCAGACGGGAAAUUAAGUUAGUUGCGAAAUCCCUCGGCUCAACUGAGGAACUGCAACUAAAACUGAUUUUCUUGAGUGCAGGAGAGG
RNAcentral lists this ribosomal RNA (305 nucleotides) under uncultured bacterium. RNAcentral describes it as "bacterial SSU rRNA". It matches the Rfam family "Bacterial small subunit ribosomal RNA", at positions 335 to 657 of the family's 1533-position model. The record is from RNAcentral.